GACGAACGCUGGCGGCGUGCCUAACACAUGCAAGUCGAACGGGUGUAGCAAUACAUUAGUGGCAAACGGGUGAGUAACACGUAAGCAACCUACCUCAAAGACUGGAACAACUAGUCGAAAGAUUGGCUAAUCCCAGAUGUGUCAAGAUGAACGCAUGUUCAUCUUGGUAAAUCCCGCAAGGGGCUUUGAGAAGGGCUUGCGUCCUAUCAGCUUGUUGGCGGGGUAACGGCCCACCAAGGCGAUGACGGGUAGCUGGUCUGAGAGGACGACCAGUCACAAGGGAACUGAGACACGGUCCCUACUCCUACGGGAGGCAG
This 317-nucleotide ribosomal RNA is filed under the name uncultured bacterium. RNAcentral describes it as "bacterial SSU rRNA". It matches the Rfam family "Bacterial small subunit ribosomal RNA", at positions 28 to 351 of the family's 1533-position model. The record is from RNAcentral.